Long non-coding RNA from Xenia sp. Carnegie-2017, 2269 nucleotides. RefSeq lists it as uncharacterized. The transcript is spliced from 2 exons. NCBI's taxonomy places the organism in Eukaryota, Metazoa, Cnidaria, Anthozoa, Malacalcyonacea, Xeniidae. The record is from RefSeq and is a predicted model, not a curated record.
ACACGUUGCAUUUCAUCCAAAUUACACAUAGUUAGCAAGUCAUCCAAAUUACACAUAGGUGUAUGUCAUCCAAAUUACACAUAGGUAGUAUGUCAUCCAAAUUACACGUAGGUAGUAAGUCAUCCAAAUUACACAUAGGUAGUAUGUCAUCCAAAUUACACAUAGGUAGUAUGUCAUCCAAAUUACACAUAGGUAGUAAGUCAUCCAAAUUACACAUAGGUAGUAAGUCAUCCAAAUUACACAUAGGUAGUAUGUCAUCCAAAUUACACAUAGGUAGUAUGUCAUCCAAAUUACACAUAGGUAGUAUGUCAUCCAAAUUACACGUAGGUAGUAAGUCAUCCAAAUUACACAUAGGUAGUAUGUCAUCCAAAUUACACAUAGGUAGUAUGUCAUCCAAAUUACACAUAGGUAGUAAGUCAUCCAAAUUACACAUAGGUAGUAAGUCAUCCAAAUUACACAUAGGUAGUAUGUCAUCCAAAUUACACAUAGGUAGUAUGUCAUCCAAAUUACACAUAGGUAGUAUGUCAUCCAAAUUACACAUAGGUAGUAAGUCAUCCAAAUUACACAUAGGUAGUAUGUCAUCCAAAUUACACAUAGGUAGUAUGCCAUCCUAAUUACACGUAGGUAGUAUUUCAUCCAAAUUACACGUAGGUAGUGUGUCAUCCAAAUUACACGUAGGUAUUAUUUCAUCCAAAUUACACGUAGGUAGUUUGUCAUCCUAAUUACACGUAGGUAGCAUAUCAUCCUAAUUACACGUAGGUAGUAUGUCAUCCUAAUUACACGUAGGUAGUAUUUCAUCCUAAUUACACGUAGGUAGUAUGUCAUCCUAAUUACACGUAGGUAGUAUGUCAUCCUAAUUACACGUAGGUAGUAUGUCAUCCUAAUUACACGUAGGUAGUAUGUCAUCCUAGUUACACGUAGGUAGUAUGCCAUCCUAAUUACACGUAGGUAGUAUUUUAUCCAAAUUACACGUAGGUAGUGUGUCAUCCAAAUUACACGUAGGUAGUAUUUCACCCAAAUUACACGUAGGUAGUAUGUCAUCCUAGUUACACGUAGUAGUAUGCCAUCCUAAUUACACGUAGGUAGUAUUUUAUCCAAAUUACACGUAGGUAGUGUGUCAUCCAAAUUACACGUAGGUAGUAUUUCACCCAAAUUACACGUAGGUAGUAUUUUAUCCAAAUUACACGUAGGUAGUGUGUCAUCCAAAUUACACGUAGGUAGUGUGUCAUCCAAAUUACACGUAGGUAGUAUUUCACCCAAAUUACAGGUAGGUAGUAUUUUAUCCAAAUUACACGUAGGUAGUGUGUCAUCCAAAUUACACGUAGGUAGUAUUUCACCCAAAUUACACGUAGGUAGUAUGUCAUCCAAAUUACACGUAGGUAGUAUGUCAUCCAAAUUACACGUAGGUAGUAUGUCAUCCAAAUUACACGUAGGUAGUAUGUCAUCCAAAUUACACGUAGGUAUUAUUUCAUCCAAAUUACACGUAGGUAGUAUGUCAUCCAAAUUACACGUAGGUAUUAUUUCAUCCAAAUUACACGUAGGUAAUAUUUCAUCCAAAUUACACGUAGGUAGUAUGUCAUCCUAAUUACACGUAGGUAGUGUGUCAUCCAAAUUACACGUAGGUAGUAUUUCACCCAAAUUACACGUAGGAAGUAUUUCAUCCAAAUUACACAUAGGUAGUAUGUCAUCCAAAUUACACAUAGGUAGUAAGUCAUCCAAAUUACACAUAGGUAGUAAGUCAUCCAAAUUACACAUAGGUAGUAUGUCAUCCAAAUUACACAUAGGUAGUAUGUCAUCCUAGUUACACGUAGGUAGUAUGCCAUCCUAAUUACACGUAGGUAGUAUUUUAUCUAAAUUACACGUAGGUAGUGUGUCAUCCAAAUUACACGUAGGUAGUAUUUCACCCAAAUUACACGUAGGUAGUAUUUCAUCCAAAUUACACAUAGGUAGUAUGUCAUCCAAAUUACACAUAGGUAGUAAGUCAUCCAAAUUACACAUAGGUAGUAAGUCAUCCAAAUUACACAUAGGUAGUAUGUCAUCCAAAUUACACAUAGGUAGUUUGUCAUCCAAAUUACACGUAGGUAGUAUGCCAUCCUAAUUACACGUAGGUAGUAUUUCAUCCAAAUUACACGUAGGUAGUGUGUCAUCCAAAUUACACGUAGGUAUUAUUUCAUCCAAAUUACACGUAGGUAGUUUGUCAUCCUAAUUACACGUAGGUAGUAUAUCAUCCUAAUUACACGUAGGUAGUAUGUCAUCCAAAUUACACGUA